This is a long non-coding RNA of Onychomys torridus (southern grasshopper mouse), 302 nucleotides long. RefSeq lists it as uncharacterized. NCBI's taxonomy places the organism in Eukaryota, Metazoa, Chordata, Mammalia, Rodentia, Cricetidae. The transcript is spliced from 3 exons. The record is from RefSeq and is a predicted model, not a curated record.
AUAAGAGAAGGGAAAUAAGAAUUGUGCAAGCUUGCAUCCUGCCCAAAGAGCUCCCCAAUGAAGCUUGCUACGAGGGAGCCACAAUGCAAGGCAGAAUCUAAACCAGAAAUUGCAUCUUUGCCUACCUGCAGCUGCAGCUCAUUGGCACAGAGUGCUGGCGAGAAAACAAGUUGAGUCUUGCAGCUGCAAGUGCCAAUAUCACACUCACUGGGGCUCUUCAGGAAAACUGAAGAGUUUGAAUCCAAGACCCAUUCAGCCUCUCCAGACAGUCAAUGGAGGAUUUCCCCCCAAAAGGUUGUAAA